GUCUUCCACGCCUGCCGCCGCCUCGGCUUAUCAGGGCCAGGAGCCAGGUCACAGCAAUCAGAGUCCCUUGGCUCUCCAGGUCUCUGGGGUCAAGCUCAGAGUAGCCGGCGUAGCAAAAUAGUAUUUCUUUGGUUUUUGUCUUAAAAUUUUCUAUAGGUUUUGCUUUCUGCUUUAUAAGAUACUGUUUGUUUAAGAGAAAAUGCUUUAAAAUUCUCACCAAAUGACUGAGUUUUGAAAAUUGAGAGCUGGGAAGAUGGUCCAUAGCUGUCCUGUGACUCAGGUGGGGCCAGGCCUACUCGGCACAUCUCCAUCCCUCCUCCUUCAGGGGCUGCUUACUUUAUUUUUUAAAAGCCAGGGUUUGAAACUUCCUCAGACAACUUUCCCAAAGUUGUGAGCAUUUCCUCACGGGUUCCUGUGGCCUCAUGUCCCACCUCCUUGCCCAGCGGCUGGGGCGUGUGUGGCUUAGUGCCCAGCACUUGGUCAGCUUUCAGCACAUGUCAGGCCUGGUGCCGUCUCCACCCCGCCUCCUCCGUCCAUCCUGUUUUGCAUCCUUACAUUGCUUUACCCAUGCCUCUCGACUGUUAAUUACUAGCAGGCCGUACGUGCCCUGAAUGAAUAGAAAGUUAUAUUUUCUUCAGACCUUUAAUAGAGUCCACCAGCCAAUCAGGGUUGCUCAGAGACCGUCUUCGGGAACUCAGCGCUCCGGUGGUUACCUGUUGAAAGUUCCUUCUUUGCUUCACAGCUACUGCCGGUGACCCCAACCCACCCACCCCCAGCUUUUCUGGGAAUACACCUCGAGGUGCUCCAGGUGCCACAGGCUGAUCUCCAGCCAUGAGGUUUCACCACCGCUCUCCAACUUUGUACAGCUUUAUAGGCACACGUGCACAGCUCUCCUACGUCGUUGUAAUCAUUGGUUUUGAGGCAACUUAGGACGACUUAUACACGUUGUGUAUUUUAACAUACUUCUUCCUGGAACUUUGAGCUGUAGAAAAUUUCAGCGAGUUUUAAGGCUUUUUUUGUUUUUGUUUUUGUUUUCCCUUACAGAGAGCCUAUUCUCUCCAGAAACCUAGGCUGGCCUUAGAAAAAUGAUUUGGUACUGGAGUGAGUAUCCCUGAUGAUGCAUCUCGUGUUUUUAGGCAAAGCUAAAUUAGAAUCUUCUAGACAACUUUGUGUACUCUGGGUGUUACCUUGCUUUCUUCGUUGCUCCUUUUGUGUCACACCAGUUUUUUCAUUUCCCGAGAAUGUGUUAAUAAGGCAGUGACAAUGUCUAUUUCCACAAAUUUGGGGCGGGCUCAUCAUUUAUUGGACCCAUUGGUUAAGUUGUCAAACCGGCCUUUUGACUGGCCUGCUUUUGUUGAACAAUGACCUCUUGGCCAUCAGCGGUCAGUCUACUUUGUGUGGCAGACAGAGACUUAGUUAUAGAAGAGAAAAGCAAUGGUCACACCCUCAUCUCCCCAGGUUAUUACAGAUUUCUAAAACCAAGGACCACUUUGUUUUGGCUGCAUUCCAACCCCAGUGCUUUGGAACUUGACAUCAAAGGGAUUGUUGAAUUUGCCUUAUUACUGUCUCAAGAACCUUUUAAACGAGCAUUGUAGGAAGAUUAAGAAAUGAUAACUUAUUCUCCUCCUUGGCACAACAUCCAAGUGUGGGUUGUUUUUUCAUCUUUUCUUUGGGACACUCCAGUUAAGUCCAUUCCAAAGAAGAAAAGGAAGAGUUCCUGUUACUCAGCUGAGUUCCCCUUAGAAGGAAGUGAGCUUUUAGACUGUGGCACCGGGGCCUUCCUUUCGUUCACACACGUGGUGACAAAAUGCUUCCCUCCAAGAAAGGACCCUGUGUUUGCUGCCCGUGGGAUCAAUGCCCUCUUCCCAGGCACUGGCUCUGCUCGAACGCCCCGAUGACAACACACUCAGCUCCCAGACUAUAGCGCCGACAACAAAGGGAAGCAGGUCCCAGUAUGUAGAGCGCACUGGAAAACCCAGCUCUCCGUGCCCUUUCCCUGGAGGUCAAGACACCCUUGGCCCAAACUUCUGAGUGUUUAUUCUCUCCUUCCCACUUCCCAAGGUCGCUUUAGCAUGGAUUUGUGUUCUCAAAACAUGGUAUUUGCCUGUAUUUACCUACAACGAACACUCAAUAUAAGACCGAAGUAAAGGGGGCCAGCCCGGUGGCACAGUGGUUAAGUUCGCACGUUCUGCCUCUCGGUGGCCUGGGGUUCGCCGGUUCGAAUCCCGGGUGCGGACAUGCCACCGCUUGGCACACCAUGCUGUGGUAGGCAUCCCACGUAUAAAGAAGAGGAAGAUGAGCACAGAUGUUAGCUCAGGGCCAGGCUUCCUCAGCAAAAAAGAGGAGGACUAGCAGGAGUUAGCUCAAGGCUAAUCUUCCUCAAAAAAAAAAAAGUUAAAAAAAAAGACUGAAGUAAAUUGGGAAGGAGAACUAUUCAUUAAACAUACACACGCAAAUUUUAUUGACUAGAAAUUAAUGUUCCCCAAAAGGAAAUUGCAGUCUUAGUAGGUUAACUUUAUUGUUGGAAUGAUUAGCUUUGACUAACUCCCAAGAUUAAGUUUCAACCUAUUUAGCAGAGAAGAAAAGUUAUGGUGCAACAAGUGUAAAUAACAUGCUAUGAAAUUUCAUCCUAACUUUUUCAAAAGCAGGUCCUUCCAAAGAGCUGUCAGUAAACCAUGUAGGAAGGAAGACAAGUUUAUAGAUUCUCUUCUGUCUGGAAGAAGUGAGAUGUCAAGCUUUGCGAUGGUGUCAGGCUGCCAUCUAAGAUUUGGCAGAUCUGGCUGUUAUAACCUUUGUGUAGCUGAAAAUGUAACAAAGAGAAUUUUCAGAAAAUGUAAACAUUAAAGAAACUGACUAUUCAGUAGACACCUUGUAGCAGCAAGACUAAUAAUUGACGGUACACUAAAAAUUUGUAACUUCUAAAAGAGCCAUGUAUUUCCACUCUACCCUCUGUUAACCUGGCUUAUGUUUUUCGACUUAUUGAAGAAAAUCAGUACCAAAAAAUUUGAUAUUAAAA
This 3016-nucleotide long non-coding RNA is filed under the name Equus caballus (horse). Its description in RNAcentral is "lncRNA (ENSECAG00000054748.1)". The record is from RNAcentral. Lineage: Eukaryota; Metazoa; Chordata; Mammalia; Perissodactyla; Equidae.